GACGAACGCUGGCGGCGUGCUUAACACAUGCAAGUCGAACGGAAAGGCCCUGCUUUUGUGGGGUGCUCGAGUGGCGAACGGGUGAGUAACACGUGAGUAACCUGCCCUUGACUUUGGGAUAACUUCAGGAAACUGGGGCUAAUACCGGAUAGGAGCUCCUGCUGCACGGUGGGGGUUGGAAAGUUUCGGCGGUGGGGGAUGGACUCGCGGCUUAUCAGCUUGUUGGGGGGGUAGUGGCUUACCAAGGCUUUGACGGGUAGCCGGCCUGAGAGGGGGACCGGCCACCAUGCGACUGAGGUACGGCCCAGACUCCUACGGGAGGCAGCAGUGGGGAAUAUUGCACAAUGGGCGGAAGCCUGAUGCAGCAACGCCGCGUGCGGGAUGACGGCCUUCGGGUUGUAAACCGCUUUCGCCUGUGACGAAGCGUGAGUGACGGUAAUGGGUAAAGAAGCACCGGCUAACUACGUG
Molecule: ribosomal RNA, 468 nt
Filed under: uncultured bacterium
Lineage: Bacteria
Description: partial 16S ribosomal RNA
Rfam family: Bacterial small subunit ribosomal RNA
Source: RNAcentral